This 558-nucleotide ribosomal RNA is filed under the name uncultured bacterium. RNAcentral describes it as "bacterial SSU rRNA". It matches the Rfam family "Bacterial small subunit ribosomal RNA", at positions 272 to 822 of the family's 1533-position model. The record is from RNAcentral.
GGCGAUGAUGCAUAGCCGAGUUGAGAGACUGAUCGGCCACAAUGGAACUGAGACACGGUCCAUACUCCUACGGGAGGCAGCAGUAGGGAAUCUUCCACAAUGGGCGCAAGCCUGAUGGAGCAACACCGCGUGAGUGAAGAAGGGUUUCGGCUCGUAAAGCUCUGUUGUUGGAGAAGAACGUGCGUGAGAGUAACUGUUCACGCAGUGACGGUAUCCAACCAGAAAGUCACGGCUAACUACGUGCCAGCAGCCGCGGUAAUACGUAGGUGGCAAGCGUUAUCCGGAUUUAUUGGGCGUAAAGCGAGCGCAGGCGGUUGCUUAGGUCUGAUGUGAAAGCCUUCGGCUUAACCGAAGAAGUGCAUCGGAAACCGGGCAACUUGAGUGCAGAAGAGGACAGUGGAACUCCAUGUGUAGCGGUGGAAUGCGUAGAUAUAUGGAAGAACACCAGUGGCGAAGGCGGCUGUCUGGUCUGCAACUGACGCUGAGGCUCGAAAGCAUGGGUAGCGAACAGGAUUAGAUACCCUGGUAGUCCAUGCCGUAAACGAUGAGUGCUAGGUG